UCGGGAAUUUUGGGCAAUGGGCGAAAGCCUGACCCAGCAACGCCGCGUGAAGGAUGAAGUAUUUCGGUAUGUAAACUUCGAAAGAACAGGAAGAAUAAAUGACGGUACUAUUUAUAAGGUCCGGCUAACUACAUGCCAGCAGCCGCGGUAAUACGUAGGGACCAAGCGUUGUUCGGAUUUACUGGGCGUAAAGGGCGCGUAGGCGGCAAUUCAAGUCAUCUGUGAAAUCUCCGGGCUUAACUCGGAACGGUCAGAUGAUACUGCUUUGCUAGAGUGCAGAAGGGGCAAUCGGAAUUCUUGGUGUAGCGGUGAAAUGCGUAGAUAUCAAGAGGAACACCUGAGGUGAAGACGGGUUGCUGGGCUGACACUGACGCUGAGGCGCGAAAGCCAGGGGAGCAAACAGGAUUAGAUACCCCUGUAGUCCCUGAGCGGGCUGGCAAGGCGCAU
Molecule: ribosomal RNA, 447 nt
Filed under: uncultured bacterium
Lineage: Bacteria
Description: bacterial SSU rRNA
Rfam family: Bacterial small subunit ribosomal RNA
Source: RNAcentral